RNAcentral lists this ribosomal RNA (253 nucleotides) under uncultured bacterium. RNAcentral's name for it is "partial 16S ribosomal RNA". It matches the Rfam family "Bacterial small subunit ribosomal RNA", at positions 524 to 776 of the family's 1533-position model. The record is from RNAcentral.
UACGUAGGGGGCUAGCGUUGUCCGGAAUCAUUGGGCGUAAAGCGCGCGUAGGCGGCCCGGUAAGUCCGCUGUGAAAGUCCAGGGCUCAACCCUGGAAAGCCGGUGGAUACUGCCGGGCUAGAGUCCGGAAGAGGCGAGUGGAAUUCCUGGUGUAGCGGUGGAAUGCGCAGAUAUCAGGAAGAACACCGAUGGCGAAGGCAGUUCUCUGGGACGGUACUGACGCUGAGACGCGAAAGCGUGGGGAGCGAACAGG